This 70-nucleotide transfer RNA is filed under the name Ctenophorus reticulatus. RNAcentral describes it as "tRNA-Ile". Lineage: Eukaryota; Metazoa; Chordata; Lepidosauria; Squamata; Agamidae. The record is from RNAcentral.
GGAAGUGUGCCCGAAACCCUAAGGGCUACUUUGAUAAAGCAGACAUGGAAUUUAACACAUCCCACUUCCC